Non-coding RNA from Phthorimaea operculella (potato tuberworm), 73 nucleotides. Lineage: Eukaryota; Metazoa; Arthropoda; Insecta; Lepidoptera; Gelechiidae. The record is from the annotation of a GenBank genome assembly.
ACCGCGGUAGCCCAGUUGGUUGGGCGUCGGCAGUACUGAUGCCAGGUCGCAGGUUCAAAUCCUGCCUGUGAGA